GUCUAUGGCCAUGCCCCCCUGAACAAGCCCGAUCCCGUCUGAUCUCGGAGGCUAAGCAGGGUCGGGCCUGGUUAGUACUUGGAUGGGAGACCACCUAGGAAGACCAGGUGCUGUGGGUG
This 119-nucleotide ribosomal RNA is filed under the name Pteropus alecto (black flying fox). The record is from RNAcentral. Lineage: Eukaryota; Metazoa; Chordata; Mammalia; Chiroptera; Pteropodidae.